GAGAAGACACUAGAUGCAACAAGCCCUGAGAAUAGCAGCCUUCUGAUCCUCCAUCUUCUGUCCUUCAGCAGCAAGGUGACAGGAUAGAGUUUCCAAACUAUCUGGAACAGGGCUGAGCACCCACUACCAGGAAGCACUGUGGACAGCCCUCUUCACCCUUCAGGAAGCCUGGUGGACAGCAGCAGCAUUACUGUCCUCCUCUCUCCUUUCCUCCUAGUAAUUGUGUAGUCUGUGUUGAGUUAUUCUCUGUGUAGUCCUCUGGAGCUCCAGAGCAGGCCGGUCCCCCUGGCCCCAAACCCCCAGGACCCUGCUCACUGGAUCAGACCCACUCUUCAUCCUCAAACCCCCAGGACCCUGCUCACUGGAUCAGACCCACUCUUCAGCCUCAAACCCCCAGGACCCUGCUCACUGGAUCAGACCCACUCUUCAUCCUCAAACCCCCAGGACCCUGCUCACUGGAUCAGACCCACUCUUCAGCCUCAAACCCCCAGGACCCUGCUCACUGGAUCAGACCCACUCUUCAUCCUCAAACCCCCAGGACCCUGCUCACUGGAUCAGACCCACUCUUCAGCCUCAAACCCCCAGGACCCUGCUCACUGGAUCAGACCCACUCUUCAGCCUCAAACCCCCAGGACCCUGCUCACUGGAUCAGACCCACUCUUCAGCCUCAAACCCCCAGGACCCUGCUCACUGGAUCAGCCACACACUUCAUUCUGUUCCCUCUGUUGUUUUUCUCUCUCAGGUUCUACAUCUUUCAGACUCCUCCCUACCCUAAAUGCUGCAGUAGAAAGUUGGUUGCCACGUUGAUGUCGUUGUUGGACGCUCUGAGGGCAUCCUGAGCAUCUAUUCUGGAGAAGCCCAUCUCCAUCAAUCUGGCAACCUAUGGGAAACAGAAAUAAACACACAAACAUCAGAGAAAUGCUAACACGAAACUGAAACCACCAAAAGACAUCCAGCCAACUUGACACAACUGUGGAAAGCAUUGGAGUCAACAUGGUCCAGCAUCCCUGUGGAACGCUCCUGACACCUUGAAGAGGACACGGCACCAACAAAUAACUUAGCUGGCAACAUGGCUAUUGUGUCAGUAACCACAGCCAUCAUUAACCAUAGACUACAAAUACAAAGCCUUGGAUACAGGUUAAAGAUUCACAAUUGAGAGCAUCCUGUCGGGCUGUAUCACCUAGUACGGCAACUGCACCGCCCGCAACCCCAGGGCUCUCCAGAGUGUGAUGCGGUCUGCCCAACGCAUCACCAGUGUCAAACUACCUGCCUCUACCUACAGCACCUGAUGUUACAGAUCAUAAAGGACAACAACCACCCGAGCCACUGCCUGUUCACCCCGCUAUCAUCCAAAAGGCGAGAAUAAAGGCCAUGUACACUUUAGAAGAGCCCUGCCUGCACAUCAGUUCAGAAGACCUUUAGAAGAGCCCUGCCUGCACAUCAGUUCAGAAGACCUUUAGAAGAGCCC
This is a long non-coding RNA of Oncorhynchus gorbuscha (pink salmon), 1468 nucleotides long. RefSeq lists it as uncharacterized. The transcript has 4 exons. The record is from RefSeq and is a predicted model, not a curated record. Lineage: Eukaryota; Metazoa; Chordata; Actinopteri; Salmoniformes; Salmonidae.